CUCUCUAAGCGGACGGGAGCCGCAGUGACCAGGUGGCUGGGACUGUUUAUUAAAAACACAGCACUGUGCAAAAUCGCAAGAUGACGUAUACGGUGUGACACCUGCCCGGUGCCGGAAGGUUAAUUGAUGGGGUUAGUUUUCGGACGAAGCUCUUGAUCGAAGCCCCGGUAAACGGCGGCCGUAACUAUAACGGUCCUAAGGUAGCGAAAUUCCUUGUCGGGUAAGUUCCGACCUGCACGAAUGGUGUAACCAUGGCCACGCUGUCUCCACCCGAGACUCAGUGAAAUUGAAAUCGCAGUGAAGAUGCUGUGUACCCGCGGCUAGACGGAAAGACCCCGUGAACCUUUACUACAGCUUGGCACUGAACAUUGAACCUACAUGUGUAGGAUAGGUGGGAGACUUUGAAGCAGCGACGCUAGUUGUUGUGGAGUCGUCCUUGAAAUACCACCCUUGUAGUUUUGAUGUUCUAACGUUGGCCCCUGAAUCGGGGUUACGGACAGUGCCUGGUGGGUAGUUUGACUGGGGCGGUCUCCUCCCAAAGAGUAACGGAGGAGCACGAAGGUUGGCUAAGUACGGUCGGACAUCGUACGGUUAGUGUAAUGGUAGAAGCCAGCUUAACUGCGAGACAGACACGUCGAGCAGGUACGAAAGUAGGUCAUAGUGAUCCGGUGGUUCUGAAUGGAAGGGCCAUCGCUCAACGGAUAAAAGGUACUCCGGGGAUAACAGGCUGAUACCGCCCAAGAGUUCAUAUCGACGGCGGUGUUUGGCACCUCGAUGUCGGCUCAUCACAUCCUGGGGCUGAAGUCGGUCCCAAGGGUAUGGCUGUUCGCCAUUUAAAGUGGUACGCGAGCUGGGUUUAGAACGUCGUGAGACAGUUCGGUCCCUAUCUGCCGUGGGCGUUUGAGAAUUGAGAGGGGUUGCUCCUAGUACGAGAGGACCGGAGUGAACGAACCGCUGGUGUUCGGGUUGUCAUGCCAAUGGCAUUGCCCGGUAGCUACGUUCGGAACUGAUAAGCGCUGAAAGCAUCUAAGCGCGAAGCAGGCCUCGAGAUGAUUUCUCACUAGACUUUUAAAGUCUCUGAAGGGCCGUUGAAGACUACAACGUUGAUAGGCAAGAUGUGGAAGUGGUGUGAGCCAUUAAGCUAACUUGUACUAAUUACCCGUGAGGCUUAACCAUACAACGCCAAACGCGUUUUG
Molecule: ribosomal RNA, 1196 nt
Filed under: Pseudoalteromonas sp. S983
Lineage: Bacteria; Pseudomonadati; Pseudomonadota; Gammaproteobacteria; Alteromonadales; Pseudoalteromonadaceae
Description: partial 23S ribosomal RNA
Rfam family: Bacterial large subunit ribosomal RNA
Source: RNAcentral